GCCAAAGCGGCCUCGAAGGGGGUCCCGUGUCUGCGGCGGGCGGCCCCCGGCGCGGAGGGCAGGGCGCGGGGAGCCCGGGCUCCCGGCGUCGGCGGAUGGCGGGAGCCCGGGGGCCGCGGGCUCGCAGGGCAGCCGGCGAGAGACGAGACGCCGAGAAUAUGCUUUUUGUCUAAUGAUGUUAGAUAAAAAGCAAAUUGGAGCAGUUUUCUUAUUCGAGUUCAAAAUGGGUCAUAAAGCAGCGAAGACAACUCAAAACAUCAGUAACACAUUUGGCCCAGGAACUGCUAACAAACAUACAGUGCAGUGGUGGCUUAAGAAGUUUUGCAAAGAAGAGAGCCUUGAAGGUGAGGAACGUGAUAUGGGCUAUGGGAAGUUGACAACGACCAAUUGAGAGCAAUCAUUGAACUACAUGAAAAAUUACAGAAGAACUCAGCGUUGACUAUUCUACGGUCAUUAGGGUCGUUCAGCAUUUGAAGCAAAUUGGAAAAACUAUCAUUUUGAAGUGUAGUCUUCUUUUAUCCUAUGCAACAACAAACCAUUUCUCAAUCGGAUUGUGACAUGUAAUGAAAAGUGGAUUUUAUACAACAACCAGCUCAGUGGUUGGACCAAGAGGCAGCUCCAUAGCAGUUCCCAAAGCCAAACUUGCACCAAAAAAAGGUCACGGUCACUGUUUGGUGGUCUGCUGCCCAUCUGAUCCACUACAGUUUUCUGAAUCCUGGCGAAACCAUUACAUCUGAGAAGUAUGCUCAGCAAAUUGAUAAGAUGCACCAAAAACUGCAAUGCCUGCAGCCGGCAUUGGUCAACAGAAAGGGCCCAAUUCUUCUCCACGACAACACCUGACUGCAUGUCGCACAACCAGGGCUUCAAAAGUUGAAGGAAUUGGGCUACGAAGUUUUGCCUCAUCCAUCAUAUUCACCUGACCUUUCGCCAACUGACUACCACUUCUAGCAUCUUGACAACUUUUUGCAGGGAAAACACUUCAGCGGGAUGCAGAAAAUGCUUUCCAAGAGUUCGUCAAAUCCUGAAGCACGGAUUUUUAUGCUACAGGAAUAAACAUUUCUCAUUAGCAAAAAUGUGUUGAUUGUAAUGGUUCCCGUUUUGAUUAAUAUAAUGUGUUUUAGCUAGUUACAAUGAUUUAAAAUUUGCAGUCUGGAAAUUUAACUUUUGCUCCAACUUAAUAUUUCUAUGGUAAAUCCUUGCAAACAUGGAAACAAUGCAUUUGGCCCAGUGCUUUGUGGUUAUGUACUCUUUUUCUUUUUUUUUAAUAGAUGGCAUUGGCCGGGCAUGGUGGCUCAUGCCUGUAAUCCCAGCACUUUGGGAGGGUGAGGUGGAUGGAUCACCUGAGGUCAGGAGUUCAAGAACAGCCUGGCCAACAUGGUAAAACCCCGUCUCUACUAAAAACACAAAAAAAUUAGCUAGGCGUGGUGGCGGGCAUUUAAUUCCAGCUACUUAAUGAGGCUGCGACAGGAGAAUCAUUUGAACCCGGGAGGCGGAGGUUGCAGUGAGCCGAGAUCACGCCAUUGCACUCCAGCCUGGGCAAUGAGUGAAACUCUAUCUCAAAAAAAAAUA
This 1569-nucleotide non-coding RNA is filed under the name Pongo abelii (Sumatran orangutan). The record is from RNAcentral. Lineage: Eukaryota; Metazoa; Chordata; Mammalia; Primates; Hominidae.